RNAcentral lists this long non-coding RNA (1699 nucleotides) under Prunus persica (peach). RNAcentral's name for it is "long non-coding RNA (PPER_LNC003616)". Lineage: Eukaryota; Viridiplantae; Streptophyta; Magnoliopsida; Rosales; Rosaceae. The record is from RNAcentral.
AAUUUAAAGCUUUAAUAACAAUGGUUACUUACCACGUCAUGUAGAUUUGAGCCACUUUGUGGGUUCGUAUUGGCCUUAGUCAAGCAUGCCUUCCAAAGAGAACAUUGUUGGUUGAUGGUCUUGAACCGAGAAGCAAUGGCUUGAUAUGUUCGUCACUUGGGUCCACUAAUGCCCAGAUUAUUUUCCAGAAACUUUUGAUAUACAUGCUUCCAAAAUGUGUUGCUUGCUUGAUCGGUGCCAAUAGCCCCAUCUUCACUAACAGAAACUCACCCUUUGCACAAUGGCUCAUCUUCUUCGGGCCUUCAAUUCACACCUCUUUGAGAUUUGUGGACAUUUUCAACAGAAUGAAAGAAGAUUGAUGAGAUUGACAAAGGAAAAAUAAAUUAAGAAAUAGAUAAAAUAUUUUUGGUAGAUUAUUUGACAAAUGGAUGGGUAUUUAUAGAAUUUGGAGUGAGUUUUGGGGUUGGAUCUGAUCUAGAUUAAUUUAAAAUAUUAUUUUGACCGUUAAAUUUAAAUUUCAGCCGUUGGGUUUUUUUUUUUUUUUUUUUUUACCAUUAAAAUAGCUUAGACUAAUUUAGAUUGUUCAUUUAAGUUGCAUUUAGAAUACCAAACCAAAAAAAAAACUAAUUGAAUUGUUGCUGUUGUAUUCCAACGGCAACUUCACAAGAGCUUGACAUGUGGCACUACAAGCUGCCAUAAAGCAGCAGCAUAGCAAGAGCUGGGGCCCACAUCAGAUUCUUUGCACAUGGGGGCUGCUUCAGAUGCAGGUGGGCUCCACCGAAUAGUUUUGGGUCUAGGCAAUACUUGGACUACUAUUUGGGUCCAAGUUUGGGUUUUCUCAAAUUUUGGCCACUUCAUUUUCUUGGGUUGGGAGAGGUUUUGGGCUAUAAUUUGGGAUAUUUUGGGUUUAGUCUUGUGGGUUGGAGAUGGCCUGGGACUAAAUCCAAAUUUUUCCCUCCAAAAAGUAACUAUUUUGGUUUUACCCGGACUCAAGUGUUUUUUCUCCCAACCCUUCGGACUCAAAUUUAAAUCAACAACUUAAUUAAAUUGUUUAAGAAUGGUUUAAGUCUUUUUUUUUUAAUGGAAAACUUUUCUUCAUUUAAUCUUUUUAAAUAACGUCAUAAUUUAAUUUUUUGUGUUAUAAAAUGAACUGGAAUAUGUGCGAAUAUUGAGCUGCACGUAAAGUAGAUGAGAUACAGCAUUUAACGAGGUUCAGCUAUGCCUACGUCCUCGGAGAGUAGCAGCAGUAACUUUUCCACUAUAUAAAAUAAUAGGGCUACAACUUUAGUAUUUACAAUAUGUGUGGCUCAUUGAAUUUUCUCUCUUGGAGAAUUUCUCUCUGCUCUCUUUCCUCUCCACUCAUUCACCCUCUUUCUUCCUUCUCUUCCUCUUUUCUAAGCACCCUCUUCUACUGAUGGAGGUAUCUAUUUAUAGGCCAAAUACAUUGACUAUUCACUUCACAAGCAUUUGGCUUCACUCGAAUAACUGGCAGACAAGCAUCAUUAAUAUUCUUCAAUCAAUUGGGUAGUGGGGCUUGCCAUUUUGGGAUCCACAUUGUUGACUUUUCAACACUCUCCCUUGGAGACCACAAAUGAUAUGUCGGUUGCAUCAUUAAAGACUUGCUUGGAGAAAACCUAGUGAGGUAGAAAACUAAUGGAAGGAAGAAAGAAGAGUACAACAAUCAGUAUAGCAUACUUCU